UUAACCUACGGGGGGCAGCAGUGAGGAAUAUUGGUCAAUGGGCGCGAGCCUGAACCAGCCAAGUCGCGUGAGGGAAGACGGUCCUAUGGAUUGUAAACUUCUUUUAUAAAGGAAUAAAACGAGGCACGUGUGCCUUUUUGCAUGUACUUUAUGAAUAAGGAUCGGCUAACUCCGUGCCAGCAGCCGCGGUAAUACGGAGGAUCCGAGCGUUAUCCGGAUUUAUUGGGUUUAAAGGGAGCGUAGAUGGGUUGUUAAGUCAGUUGUGAAAGUUUGCGGCUCAACCGUAAAAUUGCAAUU
RNAcentral lists this ribosomal RNA (297 nucleotides) under uncultured bacterium. RNAcentral's name for it is "partial 16S ribosomal RNA". It matches the Rfam family "Bacterial small subunit ribosomal RNA", at positions 334 to 628 of the family's 1533-position model. The record is from RNAcentral.